This 372-nucleotide ribosomal RNA is filed under the name uncultured bacterium. RNAcentral's name for it is "bacterial SSU rRNA". It matches the Rfam family "Bacterial small subunit ribosomal RNA", at positions 524 to 898 of the family's 1533-position model. The record is from RNAcentral.
UACGGAGGAUCCGAGCGUUAUCCGGAUUUAUUGGGUUUAAAGGGUGCGUAGGCGGAUUGUUAAGUCAGCGGUGAAAUUUUGCAGCUUAACUGUAAAAUUGCCGUUGAAACUGAUGAUCUUGAGGAUAGUUGAGGUAAGUGGAAUGUGUUGUGUAGCGGUGAAAUGCAUAGAUAUAACACAGAACACCGAUUGCGAAGGCAGCUUACUAGACUAUAACUGACGCUGAGGUACGAAAGCGUGGGGAUCAAACAGGAUUAGAUACCCUGGUAGUCCACGCUGUAAACGAUGAAUACUAGCUGUAUGCGAUAUACAGUAUGCGGCGGAGCGAAAGCAUUAAGUAUUCCACCUGGGGAGUACGUUCGCAAGAAUGAA